ACGAUGAACCAGGCUGCCGCGGGGGGUCCCAAAAAAGCCCCUGUUCCGUCAUUGUGCGGAAGGGACAUGGGCGCCGCCUGAGGAAAGUCCGGGCUCCGCAGGGCAUGAUGCCGGGUAACCCCCGGGCGGGAAUGGCCAAAGCCCUUCCCGACAGAAAGCGCAGCAGAAAAUAUACAGCCCCGGAGGGCGGCCCCAUCAGGGGCGGUCCUCCGGCGGUAAUGGUGAAAUGGCGGGUUAAAAGCCCACCGCGGCGCCGGCAACGGCAUCGCUGGCAAGCCUCAUCAGGAGCAAAAUCAAGCGGCGCCGCAGAAGUUCGCUUCUGUGCCAAUUGCCCGUUGGUCAAGCGCAGGUAGAUUGCCGGGGAUUUCCCCGGAGGCCGUCCGCAAGGCCGGUUCAAGACAGAUGGCAGUCAACGUCAAACCGCCUCCGGCGGUUUGACGACAGAACCCGGCUUAUGGUUCAUCGUUUUU
This 470-nucleotide RNase P RNA is filed under the name Treponema sp. RNAcentral describes it as "RNase P RNA component class A". It matches the Rfam family "Bacterial RNase P class A". From Rfam's summary of the family: Ribonuclease P (RNase P) is a ubiquitous endoribonuclease, found in archaea, bacteria and eukarya as well as chloroplasts and mitochondria. The record is from RNAcentral. Lineage: Bacteria; Pseudomonadati; Spirochaetota; Spirochaetia; Treponematales; Treponemataceae.